UCGACCUUACCCUGGCCUAGAUGACACCCGUGAGUGGGGAGGGAAUGAUCAUUUUAACAGGUACAGUUGGUGAUUGUUGGUGACUGAUGGUGACUGUUGGUGACUCAGUGUGUUCCUGUUGGUGACUCAGUUCCUCAGAUUGGGUUCAGACGACAGUUGACCAGUUGACUUUGGGUUUCAGAUGAUUGUGAUCAGAAUUCAAGCCGAAGUUUUGAGCCUGUGUUCAGAGAUGCACAGCUUGCCAGUCGUGUCUGCAUCAUGUGCAUCAUAGCAUGUUUAUUUUUCAAAAGAAAUGCAAUGAAAAAAAAUUAUAAAAAAAAAAAAAUGAAAAAAAAAAGAAAAAAGGAAGAAACUAAUCCUUG
This 362-nucleotide long non-coding RNA is filed under the name Lathyrus oleraceus (garden pea). RNAcentral describes it as "Pisum sativum (pea) long non-coding RNA (PSAT_LNC040988)". The record is from RNAcentral. Lineage: Eukaryota; Viridiplantae; Streptophyta; Magnoliopsida; Fabales; Fabaceae.